CCCUUAGACGUUCUGGGCCGCACGCGCGCUGCACUGAACAGUUCAACAAGUCUUAACCUUGGCCGAUAGGUCUGGGUAAUCUUUGAACGCUGUUCGUGAUUGGGAUAGACCUUUGCAAUUAUGGGUCUUCAACGAGGAAUUCCUAGUAAACGCAAGUCAUCAGCUUGCAUUGAUUACGUCCCUGCCCUUUGUACACACCGCCCGUCGCACCUACCGAUUGAAUGGUCCGGUGAAAUCUCGGGACGGCGGCUUGGUCGCUUGCGUCCGACUGCUGAAACUUGAUUAAACCAUAUCAUUUAGAGGAAGGUGAANUCGUAACA
RNAcentral lists this ribosomal RNA (320 nucleotides) under uncultured eukaryote. Its description in RNAcentral is "partial 18S ribosomal RNA". It matches the Rfam family "Eukaryotic small subunit ribosomal RNA", at positions 1470 to 1796 of the family's 1831-position model. The record is from RNAcentral.